CGUUGAUUACGUCCCUGUCCUUUGUACACACCGCCCGUCGCUACUACCGAUUGAAUGGCUCAGUGAGGCCUUCGGACUGGCUUAGGGAGGUUGGCAACGACCACCCAGAGGCGGAAAGUUAUCCAAACUUGGUCAUUUAGAGG
Molecule: ribosomal RNA, 143 nt
Filed under: Lulworthiaceae sp.
Lineage: Eukaryota; Fungi; Ascomycota; Sordariomycetes; Lulworthiales; Lulworthiaceae
Description: partial small subunit ribosomal RNA
Rfam family: Eukaryotic small subunit ribosomal RNA
Source: RNAcentral